CAGCAGCCGCGGUAAUACAGAGGGUGCGAGCGUUAAUCGGAUUUACUGGGUUUAAAGGGUCCGUAGGCGGAUCUGUAAGUCAGUGGUGAAAUCUCACAGCUUAACUGUGAAACUGCCAUUGAUACUGCAGGUCUUGAGUAAAUUUGAAGUGGCUGGAAUAAGUAGUGUAGCGGUGAAAUGCAUAGAUAUUACUUAGAACACCAAUUGCGAAGGCAGGUCACUAAGAUUUAACUGACGCUGAUGGACGAAAGCGUGGGGAGCGAACAGGAUUAGAUACCCCGGUAGUCCCUGUCUCUUAUAC
This 301-nucleotide ribosomal RNA is filed under the name uncultured bacterium. RNAcentral's name for it is "partial 16S ribosomal RNA". It matches the Rfam family "Bacterial small subunit ribosomal RNA", at positions 509 to 807 of the family's 1533-position model. The record is from RNAcentral.